GAUGCUCCACCAUACUUCAAUAUAAACAAGGCAUUUCGCCAUAGUCCCAGGCAAAACAGUCUUUGUAUUCUUUCAAUACUUUGAUCGAUUUAACCUUCAUCUUCGACCCAACUUUAAUGCUUAUAUACGUUGUUUUUUUUUGUGACUCUAUCUCCUAGAUCUAUCUCUUCGAGUGGGUCUUGCGCUUUCAUUCUCUGCAACUCAUUCAAUGGGUUUUUCUCAAGCCCCAAAGGCUCAUUGUCAUAAAUGCAAUCUAGCCUUUGGAUUUCUGAAGCUAUUGUUUGGCCUUGUCGACCAUCUUCACAUUCUUCAACUUUGACUUCGAUAUCCAAAUUUUGUAGUUUC
This 345-nucleotide long non-coding RNA is filed under the name Lathyrus oleraceus (garden pea). Its description in RNAcentral is "Pisum sativum (pea) long non-coding RNA (PSAT_LNC005473)". The record is from RNAcentral. Lineage: Eukaryota; Viridiplantae; Streptophyta; Magnoliopsida; Fabales; Fabaceae.